This is a long non-coding RNA of Paramacrobiotus metropolitanus, 311 nucleotides long. RefSeq lists it as uncharacterized. The record is from RefSeq and is a predicted model, not a curated record. Lineage: Eukaryota; Metazoa; Tardigrada; Eutardigrada; Parachela; Macrobiotidae. The transcript has 3 exons.
UAGCCGACUGGAAGUGAUCUACCGACGCGCGACUGGUGGUAAUGCAACCGCGGCUGUUACUACAGCUUUUGAUCUCGUUGCCAAGAUGGCGAUUAGAAUCAAGGGAAAUAAAAGUGUGGAGUUCCCUGGCCUGGGAAAGAAAUUACCCGGCGAGCUCUUACGUCUAUUUCCACAAGACCCCGCCUGUCCUCUCUUACUAGACAGUCCCCAUUCAAUGCCAAUACACUGGACACAGUCAUCCGAGGCGGCAGCUGAAAUUGGAGUGUCUGCCGCAGAGUUUUUCCAUUACGGCGAGACUGUCCGCUACAACG